RNAcentral lists this ribosomal RNA (396 nucleotides) under uncultured bacterium. RNAcentral describes it as "bacterial SSU rRNA". It matches the Rfam family "Bacterial small subunit ribosomal RNA", at positions 361 to 758 of the family's 1533-position model. The record is from RNAcentral.
AUUGCGUGGGGGCACCCUGACCGCCUGCCGCGUGGGUGAAGAAGGCCUUCGGGUUGUAAAGCCCUUUCGGCGGGGACGAAAUCGCGGGGGUGAGAAGCCUUCGUGGAUGACGGUACUCGCAGAAGAAGCACCGGCUAACUACGUGCCAGCAGCCGCGGUAAUACGUAGGGUGCGAGCGUUAAUCGGAAUUACUGGGCGUAAAGCGUGCGCAGGCGGCCCUUUAAGUCAGGUGUGAAAGCCCUGGGCUUAACCUAGGAAUGGCGCUUGAAACUGGGGGGCUAGAGUGCGGCAGAGGGGGGUGGAAUUCCUGGUGUAGCGGUGAAAUGCGUAGAGAUCAGGAGGAACACCGAUGGCGAAGGCAGCCCCCUGGGUCGGCACUGACGCUCAGGCACGAAA